GGACACGUGAAAUCCCGUCGGAAUCUGGGAGGACCAUCUCCCAACCCUAAAUACUCCCUAGUGACCGAUAGUGAACCAGUACCGUGAGGGAAAGGUGAAAAGCACCCCGGGAGGGGAGUGAAAUAGAACCUGAAACCGUGUGCCUACAAGUAGUCAGAGCCCGUUAAUGGGUGAUGGCGUGCCUUUUGUAGAAUGAACCGGCGAGUUACGAUUUGAUGCAAGGUUAAGUUGAAGAGACGGAGCCGUAGGGAAACCGAGUCUGAAUAGGGCGCCUUAGUAUCAUGACGUAGACCCGAAACCAUGUGACCUACCCAUGAGCAGGUUGAAGGUGCGGUAAGACGCACUGGAGGACCGAACCAGGGCACGUUGAAAAGUGCUUGGAUGACUUGUGGGUAGCGGAGAAAUUCCAAACGAACUUGGAGAUAGCUGGUUCUCUCCGAAAUAGCUUUAGGGCUAGCGUCGAUGUUAAGUCUCUUGGAGGUAGAGCACUGUUUGGGUGAGGGGUCCAUCCCGGAUUACCAAUCUCAGAUAAACUCCGAAUGCCAAUGAAUUAUGGUCGGCAGUCAGAC
This 569-nucleotide ribosomal RNA is filed under the name Klebsiella pneumoniae. Its description in RNAcentral is "partial 23S ribosomal RNA". It matches the Rfam family "Bacterial large subunit ribosomal RNA", at positions 420 to 989 of the family's 2925-position model. Lineage: Bacteria; Pseudomonadati; Pseudomonadota; Gammaproteobacteria; Enterobacterales; Enterobacteriaceae. The record is from RNAcentral.